GACUCUUAGAUAUUGAUCACUCCUGUGUUGAUUAAGAACACAGCUAGUUGUGAGAAUUAAUGUGAAUUGCAGGUCAUUGAUCAUCGACACUUCGAAUACACUUGCAGCCCCAGGAUCCUGCCACGCUACAUCUGUCUGAGAAUCG
Molecule: ribosomal RNA, 145 nt
Organism: Cricetulus griseus (Chinese hamster)
Lineage: Eukaryota; Metazoa; Chordata; Mammalia; Rodentia; Cricetidae
Rfam family: 5.8S ribosomal RNA
About the family: 5.8S ribosomal RNA (5.8S rRNA) is a component of the large subunit of the eukaryotic ribosome. It is transcribed by RNA polymerase I as part of the 45S precursor that also contains 18S and 28S rRNA. Functionally, it is thought that 5.8S rRNA may be involved in ribosome translocation.
Source: Ensembl